UAGCUAGUUGGUAGGGUAAGGGCCUACCAAGGCGACGAUCGGUAGCUGGUCUGAGAGGAUGGCCAGCCACACUGGAACUGAGACACGGUCCAGACUCCUACGGGAGGCAGCAGUGGGGAAUAUUGGACAAUGGGGGCAACCCUGAUCCAGCAAUGCCGCGUGUGUGAAGAAGGCCUGAGGGUUGUAAAGCACUUUCAGUGGGGAGGAGAGGACUUAGGUUAAGAGCUAGAGUUCUGGACGUUACCCACUGAAGAAGCACCGGCUAACUCCGUGCCAGCAGCCGCGGUAAUACGGAGGGUGCGAGCGUUAAUCGGAAUUACUGGGCGUAAGGGGUGCGUAGGUGGUUAGAUAAGUUAUCUGUGAAAUCCCUAGGCUCAACCUGGGCAGGUCAGAUGAUACUGUUUAACUCGAGUAUGGGAGAGGGUAGUGGAAUUUCCGGUGUAGCGGUGAAAUGCGUAGAAAUCGGAAGGAACACCAGUGGCGAAGGCGGCUACCUGGCCUAAUACUGACACUGAGGCACGAAAGCGUGGGGAGCAAACAGGAUUAGAUACCCUGGUAGUCCACGCUGUAAACGAUGUCAACUAGCUGUUGGUUAUAUAAAAAUAAUUAGUGGCGC
Molecule: ribosomal RNA, 616 nt
Filed under: uncultured Legionella sp.
Lineage: Bacteria; Pseudomonadati; Pseudomonadota; Gammaproteobacteria; Legionellales; Legionellaceae
Description: bacterial SSU rRNA
Rfam family: Bacterial small subunit ribosomal RNA
Source: RNAcentral